AAUUCGAUACCAAAGCCAUAAAGAACUUUUACCAUUUUACUAAUAUAAUCAUCAAAACACAUAAUAUCUUAGUUUACAACAAAACUAUAUAGCAUACCAAAAUAACUAUUAUAAUUCUUAUGUACAUGCCACUUUCAUUUAAGGAAGAAAACAUCACCAAAAUCUCAAUGCAAGAGUCGGGAUUGACCUGGAUGCUGAACCAAGACUCAGACCCCUAUUUCAACCUAUGUACAGAAACAACCGUAUGCUGAGUAUUUUAUACUCAGUGGUAUUACCAUAAUUCAAAUUAUAAUAGCAAUAAAGAAUUAUAAUUACGAAGCAUGUAACUAUCCGAUUUCUUGAAUAUCAAUUAAUUCAUAAACUUUCAUUAUUUAACAAUAACAAUAAAAUUUUUAACUAUUCUUCAAUCUCAAUCACAUAUCACAUGUAACAAUUUUAAUCACUACAUAAACAUUAAAUUCAUGCCUUUUAUUUUCAAUAUCAAUUUUCAAUCUGCAAAUUUUAAAUUUUCUCAUAUUUAAUACCACAAUCGAUCAAAUUCAUUUGAUUUUCUCAUUUCAAUUAUUCACCCUAUUAACAAUCUGGACUUUGACGAAUACACGGAUUCCAACCCAAACACACUAGUACGGCACAUUGUGCCUAAAACGGUACAUAGUACCUGAUCAGUAUACGACACAUAAGUGCCUGAAAUGACACACAAGGUGCCUAAUACGACACAUAAAGUGUCUGAUCGGCAAAGCCAAUAAAUCCCGUACUCUUCCAAAUCCUAUGGCAUGCCAACUAUAUCCGACUUAGCCUGACUAGUUAAUAGGGUAUUCAAAUUCUCAAUUCUCUUUCAUUUCCAAUUCAAGAUCACUUUUCCACUUUCUAAUCAAUUAACAAUUUAAUACCAAUACAUAUUUCAAAUAAUCACAUAUAAUCAUAUCUCAAUUCAAUUCAAACCACUUUUCAAUCAAUACACAAUUCACAUUUUCACACAUAUUUAUAAAUUAAUUCACUUUAUUUAAUUCAUAUUUUAAAUUCAUUUUUCAAUCAAAUUCAAAUCACUAAUACUUUUUAAUCAAUAUACAUUUCAAAUACUCACAUAUUUCCAUCAUUCAAUUCAAUUUGAUUCAAUUCAAGUCACUAUUAUCAUUCCAAUUGCUUACCUAAUUUUACUUACCAUGCAUUUUAAUUAAAAUAUAACAAUUAAUAAUAAAUAAAUUUGAAUUAUAGUAAUACAAACCCGAAUUUGCUUGAUUAUUCCUUAAUGACCUUCUCCUUCCCUUUUUGUGCCGAUACCUCGAAUUCUUUAUUAGCUACGAAAAUUAAAUAAUCAAAUAAUUAAUUACAGCACAAAUUUUACAAUAAAAAUAAAAUUUCUAUCAAAUUUUAUACUUUAAUUCCAAUUUAAUCCUAACUAGAUUUAUCUACUUUUCUAAUUUAAUUCACACUCUAUUUCUAUUCAAAACUUCUUCUAAACUCAAAUUUAUCUACUAAAUUUUCAUCAUUUUUCACUAAUUUCGAAUUUUCCACAAUUUAAUCCCUAAAAUUCAAAACUUGUAGUUUAGUUUACAAUUCAAUCCUUUAUUCAAUUCCAAAUAAAAUUUCUAUCAAAUAAAUCCUCAAUUCCAUCAUUUAUUCAACAUAAACCCUACUCAAAAAUCUAUUAACUUUCAAAUUUUUAACUUAAAUCCAAGAGUAAUUCACUCUAGGAUUCCAAAAACAUCAAAUUUAUGAGAAAAGCACUUGAUUUAGCUUACCUAUUAAACUUCAAGCUUCAAAAUCUCAAUUUUCCCCCUUUCUUUUCUUUCCCUUUUUCUUCCCCUGUUUUCGUCUCUUUCUCUGUUUCUUUUCUGUUCUUCUUCUCUUUUUCUAUUCUUUUAUUUC
This 1869-nucleotide long non-coding RNA is filed under the name Gossypium barbadense (sea-island cotton). Its description in RNAcentral is "long non-coding RNA (GBAR_LNC018983)". The record is from RNAcentral. Lineage: Eukaryota; Viridiplantae; Streptophyta; Magnoliopsida; Malvales; Malvaceae.